This 354-nucleotide transfer-messenger RNA is filed under the name Candidatus Saccharimonadota bacterium. It matches the Rfam family "transfer-messenger RNA". From Rfam's summary of the family: Bacterial tmRNA, also known as 10Sa RNA or SsrA, is named for its dual tRNA and mRNA-like properties. Its role is to liberate the mRNA from a stalled ribosome. Lineage: Bacteria; Candidatus Saccharimonadota. The record is from RNAcentral.
GGGGCUGACAAAGCUUAGACGGAUUAUUAACAGAUGCCAGGCGUGUCGAUUGAAUACCGUAAGUAUUAAUAAGUGUAAAAAACACGAAAACUGCGCAUGUUGCUUACAUGCCAGCUUUUGCCUAAUUUAACUUAGGCUGGUUUACGUCCAAUUUCUCGUAGGUCGUAAAUUAUUAUAUUACGAGGCUAAGGUAGUUCUUCCGGCAAGGAAUUAUUCGAAAAUUUUGCCACGGCAGCCGCUCGUUCUGUUUAUCGCAGCUGGCGGCAAUUGCUAAGACGAAACGAUAGACUAUAUACGUAGAAUGGUAUCCAGGUGGUAUUUCGGACCCGGAGGCAGUAUCCGGCAGCUCCACCA